This 786-nucleotide non-coding RNA is filed under the name Lymantria umbrosa. The record is from RNAcentral. Lineage: Eukaryota; Metazoa; Arthropoda; Insecta; Lepidoptera; Erebidae.
AUUAUUAUAGUUUGAAAAUUUAUUUUAAGUUUAUUUUACAUAUAAAUUUUAGUGUUAAUUUAAAUUUAUUUUAAAAAUAAAUUUUUAUUUUAAAUAGUAAUUAAUAUUAAAUAUUUAAGAAAUUAAGAUUUAGUAAUAUUUAUAAUUAAUAACAAAUUUUGUGCCAGCAGUUGCGGUUAAACAAAAGUUAAUAUAAAUUUUUUUAGUUGUAAUAAAUGAUGAUUAUUUUUUAAUUUAAAUAUUAGAUUUUUAGGUGAAAUUUUAAUUUAUUUUAAAUAUUAAUAAUUUUUCAUGAUUUAAUAAAUUUUAUAAAAAACUAGGAUUAGAUACCCUAUUAUAAAAAUUUAAAUUAUAAAAACUUAAAUAGUAAUUAAUUAUUUAUUGAAAUUUAAAUAAAAUGGCGGUAUUUUAGUUCAUUUAGAGGAAUCUGUUUAAUAAUUGAUAAUCCACGAGUAAAUUUACUUAUUUUAAAAUUUUGUAUAUCGUUGUUAAAAAAAUAUUUAUUUAUAAAAAUAAUAUUUAAGAUUUAAAAUUAGAAAUUAAAUCAAAUCAAGAUGCAGAUUAUAAAUAAGAAUAUAAUGGAUUACAAUAAAUUUAUUUAGAUGGANUUUAAUUUGAAAAAUUUAAUUAAAAGUGGAUUUAAAUGUAAUUUUAUUUAAACUGAUAAAAUGAUUUUUAAUUAAAAUAUGUACAUAUUGCCCGUCGCUUUCAUAUGAAAUUAUAAAUUUUAUAAUUAUAAAUUGAAAUAAGUCGUAACAAAGUAGAGGUACUGGAAAGUGUUUCUAG